RNAcentral lists this ribosomal RNA (494 nucleotides) under uncultured bacterium. RNAcentral's name for it is "partial 16S ribosomal RNA". It matches the Rfam family "Bacterial small subunit ribosomal RNA", at positions 28 to 507 of the family's 1533-position model. The record is from RNAcentral.
GACGAACGCUGGCGGCGCGCUUAACACAUGCAAGUCGAACGGAAAGGCCUGCCUUCCCUUGUGGAUUGCGGGUACUCGAGUGGCGAACGGGUGAGUAACACGUGAGUGAUCUGCCCCCAACUUGGGUAUAAGCCUGGGAAACUGGGUCUAAUUCCCGAUAGGACUGCAGGGUGGUGCCUGUGGUGGAAAACGAUUUUCUAGUGGUUGGGGAUGAGCUCGCGGCCUAUCAGCUUGUUGGUGGGGUAAUGGCCUACCAAGGCGGCGACGGGUAGCCGGCCUGAGAGGGUGGACGGCCACAUUGGGACUGAGAUACGGCCCAGACUCCUACGGGAGGCAGCAGAGGGGAAUAUUGCACAAUGGGCGGAAGCCUGAUGCAGCGACGCCGCGUGGGGGAUGACGGCCUUCGGGUUGUAAACUCCUUUCGACCGCGAGGAAGCCACCUGGUUGGAAGGGUGGUGACGGUAGUGGUAGAAGAAGCACCGGCUAACUACGUG